RNAcentral lists this long non-coding RNA (269 nucleotides) under Elaeis guineensis (African oil palm). RNAcentral's name for it is "long non-coding RNA (EGUI_LNC002076)". The record is from RNAcentral. Lineage: Eukaryota; Viridiplantae; Streptophyta; Magnoliopsida; Arecales; Arecaceae.
CAAUCAAUUUAGUAGGUGUAUGGGAUCUAUUUACUAUGAUACUCUAUAUAUCAUAGUCAAGUGCUUGAAUAAAAAUUUUCAUCUGAGCUUUCCAAUAGGUGUAGUUUGAUCCAUUGAAAAGUGAAGGUCGGUUUGUGGAUUGCCUCUCGACUAUUGAUGUACCAAAUUGGGCUGUCAUUGAUCUUUGACUCUUGAUGGUUAAAUCAAGCAAGGGCUAGAGCACCAAACUUUGAUACCACUUGUUGCCCAGAUAUGGAGCCCAAGAGGGG